AUUGAACGCUGGCGGCAGGCCUAACACAUGCAAGUCGAGCGAGCGGAGGACGGGUGAGUAAUGUAUGGGGACCUGCCCGAUAGAGGGGGAUAACUACUGGAAACGGUGGUUAUAACCGCAUCCUAUCGGAUGAACCCAUAUGGGAUUAGCUAGUGGGUGGGGUAAAGGGUCACCUAGGCGACGAUCUCUAGCUGGUCUGAGAGGAUGAUAAGGCAAAAUGUAACGGAGACACGGCCCAGACGCCUACGGGAGGCAGUAGUGGGGAAGAGUGGACAAUGGGCGAAAGCCUGAUGGAGCCAUGCCGCGUGUAUGAAGAAGGGCUUAGGGUUGUAAAGUACUUUCAGCGGGGAGGCGUUACCCGCAGAAGAAGCACCGGCUAACUCCGUGCCAGCAGCCGCGGUAAUUC
This 406-nucleotide ribosomal RNA is filed under the name uncultured bacterium. Its description in RNAcentral is "partial 16S ribosomal RNA". It matches the Rfam family "Bacterial small subunit ribosomal RNA", at positions 29 to 526 of the family's 1533-position model. The record is from RNAcentral.